GAUGAACGCUGGCGGCGUGCCUAAUACAUGCAAGUCGAGCGAACAGACGAGGAGCUUGCUCCUCUGACGUUAGCGGCGGACGGGUGAGUAACACGUGGAUAACCUACCUAUAAGACUGGGAUAACUUCGGGAAACCGGAGCUAAUACCGGAUAACAUGUUGAACCGCAUGGUUCAACAGUGAAAGACGGUCUUGCUGUCACUUAUAGAUGGAUCCGCGCCGCAUUAGCUAGUUGGUAAGGUAACGGCUUACCAAGGCAACGAUGCGUAGCCGACCUGAGAGGGUGAUCGGCCACACUGGAACUGAGACACGGUCCAGACUCCUACGGGAGGCAGCAGUAGGGAAUCUUCCGCAAUGGGCGAAAGCCUGACGGAGCAACGCCGCGUGAGUGAAGAAGGUCUUCGGAUCGUAAAACGCUGUUAUUAGGGAAGAACAAAUGUGUAAGUAACUAUGCACGUCUUGACGGUACCUAAUCAGAAAGCCACGGCUAACUACGUG
RNAcentral lists this ribosomal RNA (497 nucleotides) under uncultured bacterium. RNAcentral describes it as "partial 16S ribosomal RNA". It matches the Rfam family "Bacterial small subunit ribosomal RNA", at positions 28 to 507 of the family's 1533-position model. The record is from RNAcentral.